Molecule: long non-coding RNA, 439 nt
Organism: Chroicocephalus ridibundus (black-headed gull)
Lineage: Eukaryota; Metazoa; Chordata; Aves; Charadriiformes; Laridae
Exons: 4
Source: RefSeq, a predicted model, not a curated record
CAGGGGUUUUAACUUUGCUUACACAGUUGCCAGACUCCUGCUCCUUCAGCUGCUGCCCAUCCCCUUCCAGGACGGACAUUAUACAUCCUUCUUCCACUGCGUCAGUAAAGAAUUUGCAUUCAGGAGAAACAGGUGAUUGUGGAUGGGAGCACGCUGGCAGCUGCACCGGGAUGUAUAAGCUCUGCUAACUGAUGUUUCCAAGCACCAUCUGCAUGAUCCCAGCCGUGGAGUACGUUAACAGAGGAUACUGUGAAGGCAACAGCCACUGCUGGAGAAGGAAAGUUGGGUGAAGUGACUGCUCUGAACUGGCAAAAGAAGUUGUAUGAUCCGAGAGCUCCUAAAGAGCAUAACAAAGGCUAACAGUCAUGAUUCUCUCUACUUUGCCUAUAUUUUACGUAUGCCUGGAGCUGGAAAUAGGACUUCCGCUGCUGAAACUUCC